UAGCUAAAUGAUCUGAUUCUCCACAGACAUAACAAUUUAAUUUAUUAGGAUAAUUUCUUUCUGGUUUAAAUUUCCUAACAUGUCUAUUUUCAUCUAAAUAAGGCUUUCUUCUAUUAGAUUUUCUAAGAUAAUAUCUUUUCUUAUAAGAUUGAUAAUUUUUCUUAUUAUCAUAUUUUCUUUUAUUCUUUUCUUUAAACUUAUUUCCAUAAGUCUGAGGUGUAUAAAUAUCUUUACAAAAUUUAUAAUCUGUCUUUUUAAGUUGAUUCUGUAUUUGUAAUUCAAUACAUUUUUCUUCUAAACAUUGCAUUAUAAAUUGUGUUCUAAUUCCUAUACUCCAUAAUGAAUCUGGUCUUUCUUUAACAUUUUUAUUUUCAUUCCAUUUCUUUGUUAUUUCUAAUCCUAAAGGUCCUGGUAAUUUAUGAAAUAGUUUUUUCCCUAAUUCUUGAUUAAAAGUAUUUCCUGAAAUAGAUACUA
RNAcentral lists this long non-coding RNA (474 nucleotides) under Olea europaea subsp. europaea. Lineage: Eukaryota; Viridiplantae; Streptophyta; Magnoliopsida; Lamiales; Oleaceae. The record is from RNAcentral.